UUGGUACCACUGCCCUUCUCUGUGUUGGARGBGAUGCACUGAACAGCCRAGGACCUCAGGCAGGGAACACAGCAGCAUCCACAGCACGAGCUGAACAGCAGACAAAGCCCAGAAGUCAGGAGGCACUUAACCAGUGUCAGGUUUCAAGAAAAGGCAGGAGAAAGGAAGAAGGGAGGAGGGGCCAAACACAGAGCAACACUGUGCCUCAGUUCUCCGUAGGGCUCCAGAAACUCAAAUGCUACCAACCACAAGUUGCAGUUCGAA
Molecule: long non-coding RNA, 264 nt
Organism: Poecilia reticulata (guppy)
Lineage: Eukaryota; Metazoa; Chordata; Actinopteri; Cyprinodontiformes; Poeciliidae
Source: RefSeq, a predicted model, not a curated record